UACGGGGGGGGCAAGCGUUGUUCGGAAUUACUGGGCGUAAAGGGCCAGUAGGCGGCCAACUAAGUCGGAUGUGAAAUCCCCAGGCUCAACUUGGGAACUGCAUCCGAUACUGGAUGGCUUGAAUUCGGGAGAGGGAUGCAGAAUUCCAGGUGUAGCGGUGAAAUGCGUAGAUAUCUGGAGGAAUACCGGUGGCGAAGGCGGCAUCCUGGACCGACAUUGACGCUGAACGGCGAAAGCUAGGGGAGCAAACAGG
Molecule: ribosomal RNA, 253 nt
Filed under: uncultured bacterium
Lineage: Bacteria
Description: partial 16S ribosomal RNA
Rfam family: Bacterial small subunit ribosomal RNA
Source: RNAcentral